UAGCGCCUCGUGAAUUCAUCUCCGGGGGUAGAGCACUGUUUCGGCAAGGGGGUCAUCCCGACUUACCAACCCGAUGCAAACUGCGAAUACCGGAGAAUGUUAUCACGGGAGACACACGGCGGGUGCUAACGUCCGUCGUGAAGAGGGAAACAACCCAGACCGCCAGCUAAGGUCCCAAAGUCAUGGUUAAGUGGGAAACGAUGUGGGAAGGCCCAGACAGCCAGGAUGUUGGCUUAGAAGCAGCCAUCAUUUAAAGAAAGCGUAAUAGCUCACUGGUCGAGUCGGCCUGCGCGGAAGAUGUAACGGGGCUAAACCAUGCACCGAAGCUGCGGCAGCGACACUAUGUGUUGUUGGGUAGGGGAGCG
Molecule: ribosomal RNA, 365 nt
Filed under: Escherichia coli
Lineage: Bacteria; Pseudomonadati; Pseudomonadota; Gammaproteobacteria; Enterobacterales; Enterobacteriaceae
Description: partial 23S ribosomal RNA
Rfam family: Bacterial large subunit ribosomal RNA
Source: RNAcentral